Physeter macrocephalus (sperm whale) is the source of this 274-nucleotide long non-coding RNA. RefSeq lists it as uncharacterized. The transcript has 3 exons. The record is from RefSeq and is a predicted model, not a curated record. Lineage: Eukaryota; Metazoa; Chordata; Mammalia; Artiodactyla; Physeteridae.
CGACUGACUGCUUCAUUAUUAAUAUGAAAGUAAAACUCGUUCUGAGAUCUCAAUGUGUCAACGAUGUUCAUUGGGUACCUACGCUGUACCAGACACCAUUCUAGAAGCAGGAAAUACAGUAAAGAACAAGACAGCAUUAACUCACAUGGAAAAUCAUCCUGAAUGGUCACAGGAGUGUUGAAAUGCUCUUUGUAAAUCUUCAUCAUCUGGAAUAUGAAGAAAACUUUAACAAUAUUCUAGCAGCAGUCUCUUCUCUGGGGAUGGAAUAUGCAGU